GUUUGUUUCCUUUCCACAGAGAAGACAACAGCUCUGGAUUCUAAUAAAACGAAACUUGGCAGAGUCCCAAGCAAGUUCUGGGACUGUACUCAGCUUGAGCAUCUCAUUUAUCUCACAGACUUGUCUGUGUGGUUCCAGAGGUCAGUCCCAUGGCCCUGCAGAAGUUAAAAGGGAAUGGGGAGAAGUAAUGACAGAGCUGGUGACACCUUUGAAUCCUCUCAAGUGGAUCCAUAGCCCAAGUGGUGCAUCCUGCCCUACCAAAGGUUUUAGAAGCACUUCUACUCCACAUCUGUCUGUUUGGGCUCAGCCCAGAAACCGUCAGUGAACUCUGAUAAAUUGAUAACACUGCACUUGAACAGUGACAUUAAUACCUAACCUGCUGGCAGAAUGGGCUUUGUUAUGAGUGCUUUACCCAGAUGGCACAGACAGUAAGCUGAACUUGUCCUCUCAUGGCUUUCCCUCCCCAGAUGGCUGCAGAGGUCAGACUGUUAGAGCUGCCCCAUGCAGAAUGAAUUGUGGUGUAAGUGAACCUCAAGAGAGCUGUCCUGACCUGGAUGCAAAUAUGCUUUGUGUGACAUUGCACUCUUACUUUCCUUCACUUCUGCCAUUCCUAUCAAGACCAUGCCAUUGUGUAAGAGACACGGCAGUUCUGUUGGGAGCUGAGCUACAGUUUUGUCCCAGUAAUCAAAUACAGAAGCAAUCUAACUUUGCUCGAGGCAAGCAUGCAACAGGGAGGUGAGAGAAAAGGAUGUGCUGGUUGGCAAGAGAGGUGAGACGUGCAGAGUCAGGCAGAGGAUUGUACAUGUUUUGAGUACCACACAUCCAAUCUGUGAUGCGGAUGUGAGGGAAAGUUUUGCCUUUGGAGAGCUGAGGAGUCUGCAAAACCAUACAAAGAGGUGGAUAGAUAACCUCCUUCAUAUUGCCUAGGACUGGGUUUAGUCAUCCAGCUACUCAGUCAAAAUUUGUCGUCUGCUCAUUUAUAAGAGAUAAUUCACAGAUCAUAUGUUAUUUCCCCGGACCAUCAUUCUCUUUUACAUCAUAUCUUGUGUAAAAGGUAGAAGGGAAACUUUACUGUAUAUUGAAACUUUACCAUAUAUUACCUUUUGUAACAAAAAUGGAGAAGCACACUGUGUGUGAGGCCUCCUCACUGGACUUGACGGUGUUUCAUUUCAUCUGUGCCUGAAUUUGGAAGCAGUAGAGUUUCAGCCACUCACCUUUCAUUUCAAGGUUUCUGAAUUGCUUUAAUGAAAAAUGACUUGAUUUUAAAGAUGAAAGGUCAGACUGUGACAUCAAUUUAAUUGGAUUUGGUUGUGGCCACUUUGACUUUCAUUUGUAAUAGGAAAAGCAGAUUUAGAGGAUUUUAAUCACUCUAAAACUCC
Cygnus olor (mute swan) is the source of this 1379-nucleotide long non-coding RNA. RefSeq lists it as uncharacterized. Lineage: Eukaryota; Metazoa; Chordata; Aves; Anseriformes; Anatidae. The transcript has 3 exons. The record is from RefSeq and is a predicted model, not a curated record.